GGAAUGAGUAACACCCUCGCUCAUCGACGGUGCGCACCAGACUGAGAUCAAGUAGCGGACUUUCGGAGAUCAAGCAACGGUCUGCAACUGCAACGUGAAAAAGUUGAGGAGAAGAGUGGGGAACAUAGGUUGGGAAAAUUCAAACACUAAAAUCCAAAAGCCGUUGAAGAAUAGGACAAUACCGAAUGCGAAUUCGAUGGUGUUACCGAAAGAUCGUAUUAUAUAUACACAGUCGUCGAGUUGCUCCCAGAACACGCUACGUGCGACCAAAGGAAUACCAGCAAUGAUACUGGGAACAGUAUUAAAAAUGCACAAACUGCCAGAGCGCGAAUGUGUCGAUGAAGCGCUGGAUUAUGUGAGGCGCUGAGCGACAUCAACAACGGAUUGACGAUGUUGUGCACGA
Bombus pyrosoma is the source of this 403-nucleotide long non-coding RNA. RefSeq lists it as uncharacterized. The transcript is spliced from 3 exons. Lineage: Eukaryota; Metazoa; Arthropoda; Insecta; Hymenoptera; Apidae. The record is from RefSeq and is a predicted model, not a curated record.